GAUGAACGCUGGCGGCGUGCCUAAUACAUGCAAGUCGAGCGAACGGACGAGAAGCUUGCUUCUCUGAUGUUAGCGGCGGACGGGUGAGUAACACGUGGAUAACCUACCUAUAAGACUGGGAUAACUUCGGGAAACCGGAGCUAAUACCGGAUAAUAUUUUGAACCGCAUGGUUCAAAAGUGAAAGACGGUCUUGCUGUCACUUAUAGAUGGAUCCGCGCUGCAUUAGCUAGUUGGUAAGGUAACGGCUUACCAAGGCAACGAUGCAUAGCCGACCUGAGAGGGUGAUCGGCCACACUGGAACUGAGACACGUUCCAGACUCCUACGGGAGGCAGUAGUAGGGAAUCUUCCGCAAUGGGCGAAAGCCUGACGGAGCAACGCCGCGUGAGUGAUGAAGGUCUUCGGAUCGUAAAACUCUGUUAUUAGGGAAGAACAUAUGUGUAAGUAACUGUGCACAUCUUGACGGUACCUAAUCAGAAAGCCACGGCUAACUACGUG
RNAcentral lists this ribosomal RNA (497 nucleotides) under uncultured bacterium. RNAcentral describes it as "partial 16S ribosomal RNA". It matches the Rfam family "Bacterial small subunit ribosomal RNA", at positions 28 to 507 of the family's 1533-position model. The record is from RNAcentral.